CCCUUAGAUGUCCUGGGCCGCACGCGCGCUACACUGAACGGAUCAGCGCGUUUUCCCUUCCCGAGAGGGACGUGUAACCUGCUGAACCCCGUUCGUGGUAGGGAUCGGGGCUUGCAAUUAUUCCCCGUGAACCAGGAAUGCCCAGUAAGUGCAAGUCAUAAGCUUGCGUUGAUUACGUCCCUGCCCUUUGUACACACCGCCCGUCGCUACUACCGAUUGAACGUUUUAGUGAGGUACUCGGACUGAGCCUCAGAAGAUUCACGUCUUUUGUGCUGCUCGGGAAGAUUCCCAAACUUGAGCGUUUAGAGGAAGUAAAAGUCGUAACA
This 326-nucleotide ribosomal RNA is filed under the name uncultured eukaryote. RNAcentral describes it as "partial 18S ribosomal RNA". It matches the Rfam family "Eukaryotic small subunit ribosomal RNA", at positions 1470 to 1796 of the family's 1831-position model. The record is from RNAcentral.